UAAAAGUCGUAACAAGGUUUCCGUAGGUGAACCUGCGGAAGGAUCAUUAAAAAUUUAAUUGUUUACACGUUUACGUUUAACAUAUACAACUAACCAACUUAAUUAUGUCAACAACAACAACCAAAAAUCAAAACUUUCAACAACGGAUCUCUUGGUUCUCGCAUCGAUGAAGAACGCAGCGAAAUGCGAUAAGUAAUAUGAAUUGCAGAUUUUCGUGAAUCAUCGAAUCUUUGAACGCACAUUGCACCUUGUGGUAUUCCACAAGGUAUGCCUGUUUGAGCGUCAUUUCUCCCUCAACCCCCGCGGGUUGGCGUUGAAUGGCACGAGCUCUUAGUCAGUCCAUUCGAAAAGUAUUUUUCUUGUGUUGUUAUUUUCUAAUUUAGUAGUGACAACCACACUAAAAACACAUUUUCCUCAAAUCAGGUAGGACUACCCGCUGAACUUAAGCAUA
Molecule: ribosomal RNA, 451 nt
Filed under: Hyphopichia burtonii
Lineage: Eukaryota; Fungi; Ascomycota; Pichiomycetes; Serinales; Debaryomycetaceae
Description: eukaryotic LSU rRNA
Rfam family: 5.8S ribosomal RNA (bases 132-285)
Source: RNAcentral